Molecule: non-coding RNA, 130 nt
Organism: Populus trichocarpa (black cottonwood)
Lineage: Eukaryota; Viridiplantae; Streptophyta; Magnoliopsida; Malpighiales; Salicaceae
Source: Rfam
GUGUUCGUAGAAAGGAGAGAUGGUUGGCAUCUCCCCUGACAGGGACGGGAACAGCUUUCGGGCUUCCCUGUUACCACACAUCCGGUUAAGGCUCUCCACCUUAUAGGUGGAUCUAUAACCAAAUUUUUUU